GAGGGUGUAGCUCAGUGGUGGAGCGCGUGCUUAGCGUGCACAAGGUCCUGGGUUCAGUCCCCAGCACCUCCA
Molecule: transfer RNA, 72 nt
Filed under: Camelus bactrianus (Bactrian camel)
Lineage: Eukaryota; Metazoa; Chordata; Mammalia; Artiodactyla; Camelidae
Also listed under: 2 other names
Rfam family: tRNA
About the family: Transfer RNA (tRNA) molecules are approximately 80 nucleotides in length.
Source: Rfam by way of RNAcentral